AAUGAACGCUGGCGGCGUGCCUAAUACAUGCAAGUCGAGCGAACAGACGAGGAGCUUGCUCCUCUGACGUUAGCGGCGGACGAGUGAGUAACACGUGGAUAACCUCCCUGUAAGACUGGGAUAAAUACGGGAAACCGGAGCUAGUACCGAAUAAUAUAUUGAACCGAAUGGUUCAAUAGUGAAUGACGGUUUUGCUGGCUCUAGUAGAUGGAUCCGCGCCGCCUUUGCUAGGUGGUAAGGUAACGGCUUACCAAGUCAACGAUGCGUAGCCGACACGAGAGGGAGGUCGGCCACACGGGAUCUGAGACACGGUCCAGACUCCGACGGUAGGCAGCAGUAGGGAAUCUUCCGCAAUGGGCGAAAGCGUGACAUAGCAACGUCGCGGGAGGGAUGAAGGUCUUCGGCUGGGAAAGCUAUGUUAUUAGGAAAGAACAAAUGUGUAAGUAACUAUGCACGUCUUGACGGUACCUAAUCAGAAAGCCACGGCUAACUACGUG
RNAcentral lists this ribosomal RNA (497 nucleotides) under uncultured bacterium. RNAcentral describes it as "partial 16S ribosomal RNA". It matches the Rfam family "Bacterial small subunit ribosomal RNA", at positions 29 to 507 of the family's 1533-position model. The record is from RNAcentral.